GCUCUUGUAGCUCAGUUGGUUAGAGCACCCGUUUAGUAAGCGGUAGGUCUUGAGUUCGACUCUCAACAAGAGCA
RNAcentral lists this transfer RNA (74 nucleotides) under Datura stramonium (jimsonweed). Its description in RNAcentral is "tRNA-Thr". It matches the Rfam family "tRNA". Rfam says of the family: Transfer RNA (tRNA) molecules are approximately 80 nucleotides in length. Their secondary structure includes four short double-helical elements and three loops (D, anti-codon, and T loops). The record is from RNAcentral. Lineage: Eukaryota; Viridiplantae; Streptophyta; Magnoliopsida; Solanales; Solanaceae.